UGGGGAAUAUUGCACAAUGGGGGAAACCCUGAUGCAGCGACGCCGCGUGAGCGAAGAAGGCUUUCGAGUCGUAAAGCUCUGUCCUAUGAGAAGAUAAUGACGGUAUCAUAGGAGGAAGCCCUGGCUAAAUACGUGCCAGCAGCCGCGGUAAUACGUAUGGGGCGAGCGUUGUCCGGAAUUAUUAGGCGUAAAGGGUACGUAGGCGGUUUUUUAAGUCAGGUGUCAAAGCGUGGAGCUUAACUCCAUUAAGCACUUGAAACUGAAAGACUUGAGUGAAGGAGAGGAAAGUGGAAUUCCUAGUGUAGCGGUGAAAUGCGUAGAUAUUAGGAGGAAUACCGGUGGCGAAGGCGACUUUCUGGACUUUUACUGACGCUCAGGUACGAAAGCGUGGGGAGCAAACAGG
RNAcentral lists this ribosomal RNA (403 nucleotides) under Verrucomicrobiota bacterium. Its description in RNAcentral is "Verrucomicrobia bacterium partial 16S ribosomal RNA". It matches the Rfam family "Bacterial small subunit ribosomal RNA", at positions 355 to 776 of the family's 1533-position model. Lineage: Bacteria; Pseudomonadati; Verrucomicrobiota. The record is from RNAcentral.